UUAAAAAAUAGAUUGAUUCUGUCUAUAAUAAGUAAUUAAUAGGUAAUUUUACAUGUGAAUUUUUGUGAGGUCUUUAUUUCUCUUAAAGAGUUUAAUUAAUAUAUUCGCAGUUGAAAAUUUUAUUAAAAUAAAUUAUUUUAGUAUUAGUUAAUUUUUAGAGAGUGGUUAAAAAUUGUGCCAGCAAACGCGGUUAUACAAUUCAUUCUAGUUAUUUUUUUUAUAAAAUAUUUAGUUAAUUUUUUUAUGAAAUUUAAUUUAAAUUUAUUAGGUGAAAUUUUAAAUUUAUCAUAGUUUUUGGUUUAAUAUUAAAUGUGAAAUUCAAGUUUUGAAACUAGGAUUAGAUACCCUAUUAUUUUGAAUUUAAAUAAUUUAAUUUAUUGGUAUUAAUAGUUAUGGUCUUUAAAUUAAAAGAUUUUGGCGGUAAUUUAAUCUCUUUAGAGGAAUCUGUUCUGUAAUCGAUAGUCCACGUUGGAUUUAACUUUAUUUUGGUUUGUAUAUCUCUGUCAUUAGAAUGUUUUAUUAGAAUUUAAUUUUCUUUAAUUAUUAUUUAAAAAAUGUCAGGUCAAGGUGCAGCAAUAUUAAAGGUUGAAAUGGAUUACAUUUAAUGUAUUUUAUUGGAUUAUUAUAAUUAAUAUUUUUUAUGAAAAAGGAUUUAAAAGUAAAUUUUAGUAUCUUCUAAUUUUGAUUUAAGCACUAAAUUAUGCACAUAUCGCCCGUCACUCUCAUUAAGGUGAGAUAAGUCGUAACAAAGUAAUUCUAUUGGAAAGUGGAGUUGGAUUAUUA
Molecule: non-coding RNA, 783 nt
Filed under: Pyrrhocoris apterus
Lineage: Eukaryota; Metazoa; Arthropoda; Insecta; Hemiptera; Pyrrhocoridae
Source: RNAcentral